Molecule: long non-coding RNA, 1110 nt
Organism: Octopus sinensis (East Asian common octopus)
Lineage: Eukaryota; Metazoa; Mollusca; Cephalopoda; Octopoda; Octopodidae
Exons: 2
Source: RefSeq, a predicted model, not a curated record
ACAUUGUAUAUAUAAUGUUGUUGCCUAUACUUGUCAUUGAAAAAUAUUUCUGUUUGUCAGAAUCUUAUUCCUGGCCAACUAAACUCCAUUUUUGUAAAAAAAAAAGAAAUGAAAUGGAAAAAGAAAGAAAAUAGUGUUUGGUUGAGGUUUCUUAAAAACUUUCAUUAAUGUAUUUUUUUCUUUUUUUUUUUUAAUUCUGUUUGUGUGAAUGAAAGAUAUUCUCCUUUAUUCUAAGUCAUCUCAUAAACUCAACUUUUUCCAGAACAGCCAAGAAUUGUAUUAAAAAAAAAUGGUGUUAUUUUACCCCUAGAAUGGGGCCAUGUACAGUGUAGUGGAAAGUUUGGUGAGUGAGAGAAUAAUGACUGCUGCAGUUAUUAUUAGCUAAAAUAGGUUGCCAUUGUGGAAUGUCUUUUUUUCCUUUUACUUUCCACUCCUUUUUACUUUCUUUCUGUCUUCGUAAAACCCAAUCCCAGUCUCUACCAAUUUCUUGAAGAUACUUGCCUGAUGUUUCAAUGUUGGUAGUCUUCUCUCAUGUGAAUUUUCUUUAGUUUUACUGCUGAAGGGGUAAUUAUGGAAGACUGUGUACUGCAGUAAGGUACUAGAAAAGAAAUAAUAAAUUCUAUGUAUGAAAGAAUAUUUUAACUCUUUGCUGUCAGGUAUGGUAUGUAUACCAUGUGUACCAUUUAAUACACAGAUUAAGAAUAUAGAAUUUCUAUACAUGUCAUUUAUUUAAAAAAAAAUAAUAAACACUCAAAAAAACUAACUUAUAGGAAAAUAUUUUCAAAAAAAAAAAAAAAGAAAAUGUAUUUUUAAACAACAUGAGUCAAUAGUUGUGUAAAGGAAUUUCUGGGUAAAGAGAAUAAUGAAUUAUAAUAAUUUCUAAUACAAUUAGUUAAUGGUGAUUAUAUUUUGAAGCUGUUACUAACGCAGUUUAAGGUUCUGGGAUUAUUAGUUUCUUCUUGUUUCUAUAGUUUUCUACAUCAAACAUCUGAGGUGACACAGUCUGCACUGAUUGAUGCAAUGCAACCAGAUGCACAAUAUCCUACUCCUAUGAGACAGAUGCAGGAUGGGUCAAAACAACCAUUGUGCUAUAUAAAGAUUCAUACUAAA